Long non-coding RNA from Neofelis nebulosa (Clouded leopard), 790 nucleotides. RefSeq lists it as uncharacterized. The record is from RefSeq and is a predicted model, not a curated record. The transcript has 2 exons. Lineage: Eukaryota; Metazoa; Chordata; Mammalia; Carnivora; Felidae.
CUAUGAAGCCUCAAAUCAAUUGCUUUUCUGUCUUGUCCCUCCUUGACAUGAGAAAACUAUAAUUGGAUUUCCUUGUGGCGUUCUGGAAGGGCAGGGAAAACAAAUGGUGGUCGAGAAGGUAUCUCAGUCACCUCUGUCUGCUUCCCUGUUGCUCACCUCUGUCUUGUCUGUAUAGAAGGGAUCAUUAACUAUUUGUGGAAUCAUUAACGGCCAAACAAAUGAACAAGUCAAUGAAUGCCUGAAAAAUUAGGUUAAGUAAUCUUAGGAUGGGGUUAUGAAACGGUUUUGUGUCUUGCUUCUCACCUACAUUUCCAGUUUCAGUUUGGCAGGAAACUUGUUUUUCCUUCUAUUUCCCUCAGUGCCUUACAAGUCUUAUGCACACAGUAGUGCUCAAUAAAGAGCCAUGGAAUGAACAAUGUAUUACUUAAAGUUGGGUUCUGUAUUCAAUUUGUUAUUAUCCAGGGGCCGAUUUAAUAUAUUUACAAAUCAUCCCAAACUCUCUGUUCCUCUUCCUCCUCUCUGUCUGCAAUUCCUCUCCUUCAUAUGGUUAAAGAGACGUCAACAUGAAGGAGCUAAUUUUCCCACUUGGAGGAGUGGAUCACAAAGUGGCAUCCUGUAAUUCUGCAAAAUAAUUUAUGCUGAGAAUGGGCAAUAUGUGAAGAAGAAAAGGGCAGGCGCUUGCAGCAAGAAGGCUCUUCCGGACGUGUCAUCCGACAAAGAGCUGGCAUGCAAAGGUCUUCUCGCUAUUUUCAGGCAUCCCACAUGCUAAUUAAAAUGAGUGGUAUUGUCA